This 229-nucleotide ribosomal RNA is filed under the name uncultured bacterium. RNAcentral describes it as "partial 16S ribosomal RNA". It matches the Rfam family "Bacterial small subunit ribosomal RNA", at positions 568 to 796 of the family's 1533-position model. The record is from RNAcentral.
UGUGUAGGCGGAAGAUUAAGUCAGUGGUGAAAUCCUGCAGCUUAACUGUAGAACUGCCAUUGAAACUGAUUUUCUUGAGUACAGUUGAGGUAGGCGGAAUGUGUAAUGUAGCGGUGAAAUGCUUAGAUAUUACACAGAACACCGAUUGCGUAGGCAGCUUACUAAACUGGUACUGACGCUGAGGCACGAAAGCGUGGGGAGCGAACAGGAUUAGAUACCCUGGUAGUCC